RNAcentral lists this ribosomal RNA (1365 nucleotides) under Campylobacter jejuni. RNAcentral's name for it is "bacterial SSU rRNA". It matches the Rfam family "Bacterial small subunit ribosomal RNA", at positions 64 to 1440 of the family's 1533-position model. The record is from RNAcentral. Lineage: Bacteria; Pseudomonadati; Campylobacterota; Epsilonproteobacteria; Campylobacterales; Campylobacteraceae.
GAACGAUGAAGCUUCUAGCUUGCUAGAAGUGGAUUAGUGGCGCACGGGUGAGUAAGGUAUAGUUAAUCUGCCCUACACAAGAGGACAACAGUUGGAAACGACUGCUAAUACUCUAUACUCCUGCUUAACACAAGUUGAGUAGGGAAAGUUUUUCGGUGUAGGAUGAGACUAUAUAGUAUCAGCUAGUUGGUAAGGUAAUGGCUUACCAAGGCUAUGACGCUUAACUGGUCUGAGAGGAUGAUCAGUCACACUGGAACUGAGACACGGUCCAGACUCCUACGGGAGGCAGCAGUAGGGAAUAUUGCGCAAUGGGGGAAACCCUGACGCAGCAACGCCGCGUGGAGGAUGACACUUUUCGGAGCGUAAACUCCUUUUCUUAGGGAAGAAUUCUGACGGUACCUAAGGAAUAAGCACCGGGCUAACUCCGUGCCAGCAGCCGCGGUAAUACGGAGGGUGCAAGCGUUACUCGGAAUCACUGGGCGUAAAGGGCGCGUAGGCGGAUUAUCAAGUCUCUUGUGAAAUCUAAUGGCUUAACCAUUAAACUGCUUGGGAAACUGAUAGUCUAGAGUGAGGGAGAGGCAGAUGGAAUUGGUGGUGUAGGGGGUAAAAUCCGUAGAUAUCACCAAGAAUACCCAUUGCGAAGGCGAUCUGCUGGAACUCAACUGACGCUAAGGCGCGAAAGCGUGGGGAGCAAACAGGAUUAGAUACCCUGGUAGUCCACGCCCUAAACGAUGUACACUAGUUGUUGGGGUGCUAGUCAUCUCAGUAAUGCAGCUAACGCAUUAAGUGUACCGCCUGGGGAGUACGGUCGCAAGAUUAAAACUCAAAGGAAUAGACGGGGACCCGCACAAGCGGUGGAGCAUGUGGUUUAAUUCGAAGAUACGCGAAGAACCUUACCUGGGCUUGAUAUCCUAAGAACCUUUUAGAGAUAAGAGGGUGCUAGCUUGCUAGAACUUAGAGACAGGUGCUGCACGGCUGUCGUCAGCUCGUGUCGUGAGAUGUUGGGUUAAGUCCCGCAACGAGCGCAACCCACGUAUUUAGUUGCUAACGGUUCGGCCGAGCACUCUAAAUAGACUGCCUUCGUAAGGAGGAGGAAGGUGUGGACGACGUCAAGUCAUCAUGGCCCUUAUGCCCAGGGCGACACACGUGCUACAAUGGCAUAUACAAUGAGACGCAAUACCGCGAGGUGGAGCAAAUCUAUAAAAUAUGUCCCAGUUCGGAUUGUUCUCUGCAACUCGAGAGCAUGAAGCCGGAAUCGCUAGUAAUCGUAGAUCAGCCAUGCUACGGUGAAUACGUUCCCGGGUCUUGUACUCACCGCCCGUCACACCAUGGGAGUUGAUUUCACUCGAAGCCGGAAUACUAAAC